This is a non-coding RNA of Pelobates cultripes (western spadefoot toad), 237 nucleotides long. Lineage: Eukaryota; Metazoa; Chordata; Amphibia; Anura; Pelobatidae. The record is from the annotation of a GenBank genome assembly.
GCCCCAGGGGUCAGAGCUUGCAUGCUAAUGGUGCGUAGGCCUGGUUCAGGUCCUGGAGUCAAGGGCAAAGAGAGCAUAGUGUGGGCCAGAGCGGGCCCGAGCGAGCCCUGUUAUAUUGGGGGUCAUGUCCCUUGUUUUUUGUGACUGUGUAGCGUCUGCCUCCAUCACUGAGGUCACCUGGUUGUAGCGUCCUUAAGUCGGAGAGGGUCAGCUUGUUUUGGGGACAGUGGUUGAGCU